This 338-nucleotide unclassified non-coding RNA is filed under the name soil metagenome. RNAcentral's name for it is "partial contains 5.8S ribosomal RNA, internal transcribed spacer 2, and large subunit ribosomal RNA". The stretch from base 6 to 121 matches the Rfam family "5.8S ribosomal RNA", at positions 39 to 154 of the family's 154-position model. The record is from RNAcentral.
GAUGAAAGAACGCAGCGAAAUGCGAUAAGUAGUGUGAAUUGCAGAAUUCAGUGAAUCAUCGAAUCUUUGAACGCACAUUGCGCCCCUUGGUAUUCCAUGGGGCAUGCCUGUUCGAGCGUCAUUUGUACCUUCAAGCUCUGCUUGGUGUUGGGUGUUUGUCUCGCCUCUGCGUGUAGACUCGCCUCAAAACAAUUGGCAGCCGGCGUAUUGAUUUCGGAGCGCAGUACAUCUCGCGCUUUGCACUCAUAACGACGACGUCCAAAAGUACAUUUUUACACUCUUGACCUCGGAUCAGGUAGGGAUACCCGCUGAACUUAAGCAUAUCAAUAAGCGGAGGA